This 459-nucleotide ribosomal RNA is filed under the name uncultured bacterium. RNAcentral describes it as "partial 16S ribosomal RNA". It matches the Rfam family "Bacterial small subunit ribosomal RNA", at positions 338 to 795 of the family's 1533-position model. The record is from RNAcentral.
CCUACGGGUGGCUGCAGUGAGGAAUAUUGGUCAAUGGGCGGGAGACUGAACCAGCCAAGCCGCGUGAGGGAUGAAGGUACAGAGUAUUGUAAACCUCUUUUGCCAGGGAACAAAGGCGGGGACGUGUCCCCGGAUGAGUGUACCUGAAGAAAAAGCAUCGGCUAACUCCGUGCCAGCAGCCGCGGUAAUACGGAGGAUGCGAGCGUUAUCCGGAUUUAUUGGGUUUAAAGGGUGCGCAGGCGGGCUGUUAAGUCAGUGGGAAAAACACGGGGCCAAACCCCGGCCCGCCGUUGAAACUGGCAGUCUCGAGUUGGAGAGAAGUAUGCGGAAUGCGCGGUGUAGCGGUGAAAUGCAUAGAUAUCGCGCAGAACUCCGAUUGCGAAGGCAGCAUGCCGGCUCCACACUGACGCUGAGGCACGAAAGCGUGGGUAUCGAACAGGAUUAGAUACCCCAGUAGUC